Molecule: long non-coding RNA, 206 nt
Filed under: Elaeis guineensis (African oil palm)
Lineage: Eukaryota; Viridiplantae; Streptophyta; Magnoliopsida; Arecales; Arecaceae
Description: long non-coding RNA (EGUI_LNC057083)
Source: RNAcentral
GGGCCCAUUUCCUUCAUCCUUUCAAUAAUUAGUAUAUCUUGGUUGUUGGGUUUCGGUGGCACAGCGGAAGGGUUAGGUGUUUAAAAUUUUAUUCAAAAUACCUGUUGGGUAUAAAUACCCCCCAGCCAAAGUUCGGGUCAGGAGUGACCCUCCAGGGAUUCUACCGACGUCCGACCUUCGGCGAUAUCUUUUCGAACCCCUCCGAC